UCCCUGGUGGUCCAGUGGUUAGGACUCUGCACUUGCACUGCUGGGGCCCAGGUUUGAUACCUGCUCGGGGAA
This is a non-coding RNA of Aethalodelphis obliquidens (Pacific white-sided dolphin), 72 nucleotides long. The record is from the annotation of a RefSeq genome assembly. Lineage: Eukaryota; Metazoa; Chordata; Mammalia; Artiodactyla; Delphinidae.